AGCGAACGCUGGCGGCAGGCCUAACACAUGCAAGUCGAACGAACCUUUCGGGGUUAGUGGCGGACGGGUGAGUAACACGUGGGAACGUGCCUUUAGGUUCGGAAUAACUCAGGGAAACUUGUGCUAAUACCGAAUGUGCCCUUCGGGGGAAAGAUUUAUCGCCUUUAGAGCGGCCCGCGUCUGAUUAGCUAGUUGGUUGAGGUAAUGGCUCACCAAGGCGACGAUCAGUAGCUGGUCUGAGAGGAUGAUCAGCCACAUUGGGACUGAGACACGGCCCAAACUCCUACGGGAGGCAGCAGUGGGGAAUCUUGCGCAAUGGGCGAAAGCCUGACGCAGCCAUGCCGCGUGAAUGAUGAAGGUCUUAGGACUGUAAAAUUCUUUCACCGGGGACGAUAAUGACGGUACCCGGAGAAGAAGCCCCGGCUAACUUCGUG
This 434-nucleotide ribosomal RNA is filed under the name uncultured bacterium. Its description in RNAcentral is "partial 16S ribosomal RNA". It matches the Rfam family "Bacterial small subunit ribosomal RNA", at positions 29 to 507 of the family's 1533-position model. The record is from RNAcentral.